Cyprinodon tularosa is the source of this 575-nucleotide long non-coding RNA. RefSeq lists it as uncharacterized. The record is from RefSeq and is a predicted model, not a curated record. Lineage: Eukaryota; Metazoa; Chordata; Actinopteri; Cyprinodontiformes; Cyprinodontidae. The transcript has 2 exons.
UCUCUUCUCCAGGUGGAGUACUGCUGCAGCGCCCUCUGCUGGAUGACUGAAGCUCUGUCUCAGAGUGAGUUGGUGGGAAGCAGCCGGCCGCCUCCUCCACUCAGAGAGGUUUCGGCACUGUCUCAAAGCUGAGCUUCACAUCCCAGUCCUCCCAGCCUUCCCAGUGCAGAAGAACUCUGAGCUGUGGAUUAACCCCUGCAGCUCUGGCUGACUUUAAACUCUGGGACUCGGAGUGGAUUAGUCUCAGAGUGAGGAACACUCAGGACUUUCAUCUUUAACAAUCUCUAGUUUCCUAUUUGGGGGAUUCUAGUGGUUUGAUUUUUUGUUAUGAGAAAAUCUAUAUUUUUCUUUUUUGUAUAGAAAGGUCAGUCUGCAUGUUGUUGUGUGACAGGAGAGCUUUAGCCCCGUCUGUCACCAUAGAAACCUCCAUAUCUGGCCUUGUGAGAUCAGAUGGAUCUGAUUUAAAGCUGCCUGAACCCAUCAAAGCUGCAUGCAGGAAAUCAGUGUUUAAAGUUGUUCUGUUUGCUUUAUGAUCCCUGACAUGAAACCCAAUAAAGAACCAGCUGAUUUCUGCA